This 108-nucleotide ribosomal RNA is filed under the name Pteropus alecto (black flying fox). Lineage: Eukaryota; Metazoa; Chordata; Mammalia; Chiroptera; Pteropodidae. The record is from RNAcentral.
GUCUACAGCCAUGCCACCCUGAACGUGCCCAAUCUUGUCUGAUCUCGGAAGUUAAGUAGGUUAGUACUUGGAUGGGAGACCACCUAGGAAGACCAAGAGCUGUAGGUG